UAAAUGAGUUAUGUGUUAACUCA
Molecule: non-coding RNA, 23 nt
Filed under: Arabidopsis thaliana (thale cress)
Lineage: Eukaryota; Viridiplantae; Streptophyta; Magnoliopsida; Brassicales; Brassicaceae
Source: RNAcentral